ACCUACGGGGGGCAGCAGUGGGGAAUAUUGCACAAUGGGGGAAACCCUGAUGCAGCAACGCCGCGUGAGUGAAGAAGUCAUUCGUGAUGUAAAGCUCUAUCAGCAGGGAAGAAAAUGACGGUACCUGAGUAAGAAGCCCCGGCUAACUACGUGCCAGCAGCCGCGGUAAUACGUAUGGGGCAAGCGUUAUCCGGAUUUACUGGGUGUAAAGGGAGCGCAGGCGGCCUGGCAAGCCUGAUGUGAAAUACCGGGGCCCAACCCCGGGGCUGCAUUGGGAACUGCCAGGCUGGAGUGCCGGCGAGGCA
Molecule: ribosomal RNA, 305 nt
Filed under: uncultured bacterium
Lineage: Bacteria
Description: bacterial SSU rRNA
Rfam family: Bacterial small subunit ribosomal RNA
Source: RNAcentral